Non-coding RNA from Pelobates cultripes (western spadefoot toad), 237 nucleotides. The record is from the annotation of a GenBank genome assembly. Lineage: Eukaryota; Metazoa; Chordata; Amphibia; Anura; Pelobatidae.
CACACACUCAGAUACACACACUGACACACAUAUGAUACAGAUAAUGAUAGAUACACACACUGGCACAUACACACAGAUACACACACUGACACACAUAUGAUACAGAUAACGAUAGAUACACACACUGGCACAUACACACAGAUACACACACUGACACACAUAUGAUACAGAUAACGAUAGAUACACACACUGGCACAUACACACAGAUACACACACUGACACACAUAUGAUACAGAU